Molecule: long non-coding RNA, 289 nt
Filed under: Mytilus galloprovincialis (Mediterranean mussel)
Lineage: Eukaryota; Metazoa; Mollusca; Bivalvia; Mytilida; Mytilidae
Source: RNAcentral
CAAAAAAGUGUCAGUAUUCACUUCAAAAACUAACAAAACCUUUGAAUAGACUUAUUAAGAAGGGAUAUAGUUACGAUACUGUUGUCAGGUCAUUAAAGAUUGCAUACUUUGGCGUUAAUAUUGAUUCACUUAUAGGGUCUUUGCAUCGGAACUAAACACAUUUAUUCAAAAACCAGUUGUUGGCAUGACACGGGUUAUGUUCUUCUCAUAUAUGUUAUGAUGGUAUGAUACUAAACCCCUAACGGGAAUGAUUGUGCCUGAUGUUCAUAUGAUGCAAUCAUAAUCUUUC